Molecule: long non-coding RNA, 372 nt
Filed under: Anas platyrhynchos platyrhynchos (common mallard)
Lineage: Eukaryota; Metazoa; Chordata; Aves; Anseriformes; Anatidae
Description: lncRNA (ENSAPLG00000022963.1)
Source: RNAcentral
GCAAAAUGCAGAAACCUUACUUCAGCAAAUGCUGAAACAGAAUAAAAAAUGUUCUUCAUUUAAAAUUGUGCACAAACCCUCUUUCUACUCACUGAUUUUUCAGUGAGUAGAAGCUGUUUUAUCUAUGAAGUAAAAUAGGACUACUAUAAUAUAUGUGAUGCCUUCAAAACAAGUCACCUGUAAUAAUUCACAUGCUAAUUGGAUGUUUUUUUGUUUUUCCAUCACCACAGAAAAUAAACUAUGGAAAGAACUACACAGGUAACCCAAAGAAACAUGAAAUUGCAGUGGGACCCAGCAGAGUCAGACUGAGAUAAUCAACCAAAAGCUGUUCCAGAGGGUGUCUGGAGAGAGCUUCUACCUCACAACAUCUGU